GACGAACGCUGGCGGCGUGCUUAACACAUGCAAGUCGAACGGAAAGGCCCUGCUUUUGUGGGGUGCUCGAGUGGCGAACGGGUGAGUAACACGUGAGUAACCUGCCCUUGACUUUGGGAUAACUUCAGGAAACUGGGGCUAAUACCGGAUAGGAGCUCCUGCUGCAUGGUGGGGGUUGGAAAGUUUCGGCGGUUGGGGAUGGACUCGCGGCUUAUCAGCUUGUUGGUGGGGUAGUGGCUUACCAAGGCUUUGACGGGUAGCCGGCCUGAGAGGGUGACCGGCCACAUUGGGACUGAGAUACGGCCCAGACUCCUACGGGAGGCAGCAGGGGGGAAUAUGGCACAAUGGGCGGAAGCCUGAUGCAGCAACGCCGCGUGCGGGAGGACGGCCUUCGGGUGGUAAACCGCUUUCGCAUGUGACGAAGCGUGAGUGACGGUAAUGGGUAAAGAAGCACCGGCGAACUACGU
Molecule: ribosomal RNA, 467 nt
Filed under: uncultured bacterium
Lineage: Bacteria
Description: partial 16S ribosomal RNA
Rfam family: Bacterial small subunit ribosomal RNA
Source: RNAcentral